GGAUCGGGCCUUUCAGGCAUCCUCUCCUAAAAACUUUCAUGGCCGAUCCCUCGCGGGUCGGCCCUUUUUUUGUGCCAU
This 78-nucleotide small RNA is filed under the name Sphingomonas sp. OV641. Its description in RNAcentral is "Makes More Granules Regulator RNA (mmgR)". It matches the Rfam family "Makes More Granules Regulator RNA (mmgR)". Rfam says of the family: SuhB later renamed mmgR (makes more granules regulator) was a putative non-coding RNA found multiple times in the Agrobacterium tumefaciens genome and related alpha-proteobacteria. Other non-coding RNAs uncovered in the same analysis include: speF, ybhL, metA, and serC. The record is from Rfam by way of RNAcentral. Lineage: Bacteria; Pseudomonadati; Pseudomonadota; Alphaproteobacteria; Sphingomonadales; Sphingomonadaceae.